AGGAGAAUGGAGACUUACUGUGUGACCUUGUAGCUUAGUCGUUAUCUCCUUGUACAGCAUUGUAAUAACGUUGCACAUUUAUUGUGUGUACAUUUUUUUUUUUUUUUUUUUUUUUGUUAGAUGGCUUUGUUAAUGGAGAAAGGAGGCAUUAAAGGAUUUAAACUGUAGAUGGUUUAUUAUUUUCAGUAUUCCCAACCACUGAGUAAAAUAAAUGUAUUAUCUAUCAGCAACUAUAAUCUAAUUGCCUCACUGAAACGUAAAUUAAUAAAUCGAGUUUUCUAAACAGUGUUUUGCAACUUUUAAGGUGCAUAUGUUCCACCCAAGGUAAACUGCAAUUCAACUGAAAGAAUCUCAGUUAUAGCUAGGACAGAAGCAUUUGUGUGUCUUGUAACAGUAGAUGUGAAACUUGAUUCAAUUUAAUUUUACCAGCUGAAGAGAUAUGACCUACGUAACAUCUUAGUCUUUCAGAAAGAAGAUUUCACAGGUGGUGACAGGCUGAGCCAUCGCCUGCUGGUGACUUGCAACUUUACCCUGCUUCUGCAGUGAUGGGCCAUAUUUUGGUAUUGGACUUUGAGUGUGUUCCUGGCCUUGGCCUAAUGCAGGAACAAAAGUGAGAAACAUUGUUUUUUAAAUUCUCGUCAUGAUUUGCAAGACAACAUCCCCUCCCAGGGCAGUUAUUUCUGAGUGUCGUUUGUUACUUUGACAUUAAACAUGUUCAGAUCAUUCUCCUGACUGUGUUCGGCCAAUGCCUUUGUGUGGAUCAGUAUCCUGGCAAUAAGAAUUUAAAACAAAUAGUUAUUUGAUUGUAAGAGAAUGUCCGUUUCAGGACUCAACGUAUUCAAAUAUCAGUGUCUGUUGUUUGUUUCCUUCAUUUAAGUGUCUCUUAAUAUUUUCUUUUUUGAUUCUAGUGAGCCAAAUGGACUCAGUUGUAUGCCUCCAUGUUUCUAUUGAAUUUAACUGCUGUGUAAAUGUAAUUUGUACAUUGUGCGUAUGUUUUAGAAUUUGUUGACCUACCGUGUGAGAGGUCAGUCAAAAUUGAGUCAACAGGCCCUUUGUCAGCCGGAGAUUUCAUUGUUUAUAUGGGCUUGGUAAAGCCCCCAGCCUGCUUCACAGACAAGUACAUUUUAAAUUUUUUGUUUGUAUUGUAUAAAGUCAAAAGCAAAGUCUGCUUCACAGAUGUAUAAAUAUGUAUAUUAUUUUAAAUUCAUUGCCUACUAUGAUUAUUCAUAUUUAUUAGAAACAUACGUUUUGCUUCGGCUGUUUCACAGCCAUGUAUGUAAAGUUAUAAUUUUUUUGUCUGUGGAAACUUCUAAAUUCUGGCUGAUGUUUGUAGGUGCUAACGCCUGCUUCACAAAUAUGUACAUUAAUUAAUAUUUUACUUUCACUGAUUGUCCAGAUAAGUGAGAUAAUUCUUUCUUUUCAGCUAUGUUUGUAAUUUUUUUUUUA
This is a long non-coding RNA of Schistocerca cancellata (South American locust), 1446 nucleotides long. RefSeq lists it as uncharacterized. Lineage: Eukaryota; Metazoa; Arthropoda; Insecta; Orthoptera; Acrididae. The record is from RefSeq and is a predicted model, not a curated record. The transcript has 3 exons.